RNAcentral lists this ribosomal RNA (467 nucleotides) under uncultured bacterium. Its description in RNAcentral is "partial 16S ribosomal RNA". It matches the Rfam family "Bacterial small subunit ribosomal RNA", at positions 28 to 506 of the family's 1533-position model. The record is from RNAcentral.
GACGAACGCUGGCGGCGUGCUUAACACAUGCAAGUCGAACGGAAAGGCCCUGCUUUUGUGGGGUGCUCGAGUGGCGAACGGGUGAGUAACACGUGAGUAACCUGCCCUUGACUUUGGGAUAACUUCAGGAAACUGGGGCUAAUACCGGAUAGGAGCUCCUGCUGCAUGGUGGGGGUUGGAAAGUUUCGGCGGUUGGGGAUGGACUCGCGGCUUAUCAGCUUGUUGGUGGGGUAGUGGCUUACCAAGGCUUUGACGGGUAGCCGGCCUGAGAGGGUGACCGGCCAAAUUGGGACUGAGAUACGGCCCAGACUCCUCGGGGAGGCAGCAGGGGGGAAUAUGGCACAAGGGGCGGAAGCCUGAUGCAGCAACGCCGCGUGCGGGAUGACGGCCUUCGGGUUGUAAACCGCUUUCGCCUGGGACGAAGGGUGAGUGACGGUAAUGGGUAAAGAAGCACCGGCUAACUACGU